AUUGAACGCUGGCGGCAUGCCUUACACAUGCAAGUCGAACGGCAGCACGGAGCUUGCUCUGGUGGCGAGUGGCGAACGGGUGAGUAAUAUAUCGGAACGUACCCUAGAGUGGGGGAUAACGUAGCGAAAGUUACGCUAAUACCGCAUACGAUCUAAGGAUGAAAGUGGGGGAUCGCAAGACCUCAUGCUCGUGGAGCGGCCGAUAUCUGAUUAGCUAGUUGGUAGGGUAAAAGCCUACCAAGGCAUCGAUCAGUAGCUGGUCUGAGAGGACGACCAGCCACACUGGAACUGAGACACGGUCCAGACUCCUACGGGAGGCAGCAGUGGGGAAUUUUGGACAAUGGGCGAAAGCCUGAUCCAGCAAUGCCGCGUGAGUGAAGAAGGCCUUCGGGUUGUAAAGCUCUUUUGUCAGGGAAGAAACGGUGGGAGCUAAUAUCUCUUGCUAAUGACGGUACCUGAAGAAUAAGCACCGGCUAACUACGUGCCAGCAGCCGCGGUAAUACGUAGGGUGCAAGCGUUAAUCGGAAUUACUGGGCGUAAAGCGUGCGCAGGCGGUUUUGUAAGUCUGAUGUGAAAUCCCCGGGCUCAACCUGGGAAUUGCAUUGGAGACUGCAAGGCUAGAAUCUGGCAGAGGGGGGUAGAAUUCCACGUGUAGCAGUGAAAUGCGUAGAUAUGUGGAGGAACACCGAUGGCGAAGGCAGCCCCCUGGGUCAAGAUUGACGCUCAUGCACGAAAGCGUGGGGAGCAAACAGGAUUAGAUACCCUGGUAGUCCACGCCCUAAACGAUGUCUACUAGUUGUCGGGUCUUAAUUGACUUGGUAACGCAGCUAACGCGUGAAGUAGACCGCCUGGGGAGUACGGUCGCAAGAUUAAAACUCAAAGGAAUUGACGGGGACCCGCACAAGCGGUGGAUGAUGUGGAUUAAUUCGAUGCAACGCGAAAAACCUUACCUACCCUUGACAUGGCUGGAAUCCUUGAGAGAUCAGGGAGUGCUCGAAAGAGAACCAGUACACAGGUGCUGCAUGGCUGUCGUCAGCUCGUGUCGUGAGAUGUUGGGUUAAGUCCCGCAACGAGCGCAACCCUUGUCAUUAGUUGCUACGAAAGGGCACUCUAAUGAGACUGCCGGUGACAAACCGGAGGAAGGUGGGGAUGACGUCAAGUCCUCAUGGCCCUUAUGGGUAGGGCUUCACACGUCAUACAAUGGUACAUACAGAGCGCCGCCAACCCGCGAGGGGGAGCUAAUCGCAGAAAGUGUAUCGUAGUCCGGAUUGUAGUCUGCAACUCGACUGCAUGAAGUUGGAAUCGCUAGUAAUCGCGGAUCAGCAUGUCGCGGUGAAUACGUUCCCGGGUCU
RNAcentral lists this ribosomal RNA (1352 nucleotides) under uncultured bacterium. RNAcentral describes it as "bacterial SSU rRNA". It matches the Rfam family "Bacterial small subunit ribosomal RNA", at positions 28 to 1381 of the family's 1533-position model. The record is from RNAcentral.